CCUGAGUGGAUGUAAGUUUCCAGGCCCUCUGGCUGUCUGUGCCACAGGCAAAGGGGCCUCCGGUAGCUCGAGGGCAGCCCUCCGGCAAAGAGAAGUGGAUACGGGCUGCUGGGAGUGAAGCUACCAGAGGAGAGCAGCUUUCCUUCACCAUCAUUUCCACCAAGAUGUUUCUGUCUUGGAAUUGCUUGAAAUGAAAACCCUGAAACUGUGGACCAAAACAAACUAUUCUUCAGAAAGACAGUGCCACCUGACCAGACCUCUCAAUAGAAAAGGUGAAAUAUACUUCCCUUCUCUAUCACUGUGGGUCCUGUUCAACAGACUGCUAUGGAUUUACACAUCUUGGCCUGGAGUCCUGCUUUUCCUAUCUGCUUUAAGAGGAAUAAGUUGGGUAAUUCUCAUUCCAGGACUAUGUGGAGACUCUCUAAAUGGACCAACCACAGCCUGGCACCAAGCCAAUAGGAACCAUAUCUGUCAGUGAGAAGUAAA
Molecule: long non-coding RNA, 486 nt
Organism: Chinchilla lanigera (long-tailed chinchilla)
Lineage: Eukaryota; Metazoa; Chordata; Mammalia; Rodentia; Chinchillidae
Exons: 3
Source: RefSeq, a predicted model, not a curated record